AUCAUACGGACACGUCAUUCGAUCCGGUAACGUGACGCAUGUUUAUGAUUUGACACCGUACAGUCAGCAAACAAGAUUAAACAGCAAUAUAAUUUUAUUGGUGUAUUCCUGUCGGAAAUGCUCGAUUAGUUUCAGGACCAUCCGAGGUCCUUAAUCAUGAGAGGCUAUAACACAACUGUUAUCUGUGACGCAACCAAUGAUGAUUAAAGUCCCUGGAUGAUUUCGAAACUCCUCAGGAAUCCUCGACAAAAAUAUGCAAACCUCAAUUUGCCAUGGCUAGGUAAUAUAUAUAUAAAAAAAGAAUUUUCCAAAUGGAUUUACGACUGACGCAGUUAAGAAGUCACCAAUAUAUAAAAAAAAACUACCUCCUUUUUGGAAAAAAAGAAGAAGGAAGUAAGUAGAAGAAAAUACUUACAGAUUAUUUAAUAAUUAUCGACACUUAAUUACAAAGUAUGUGUACAAGUAGCACGACAAUCUACAGCGGUAUGACCACAGGAUAACAUAAAAUCCAUUAGUUUUAGGUAUUAUAUUUAAUUACCAAUUUAGAAUUUAUAUAUGUUAUAACCAGCGUUUUCCUCCAUUGGAUAUAUUGGGUUUUCCUCUUUUAUU
This is a long non-coding RNA of Galleria mellonella (greater wax moth), 609 nucleotides long. RefSeq lists it as uncharacterized. Lineage: Eukaryota; Metazoa; Arthropoda; Insecta; Lepidoptera; Pyralidae. The record is from RefSeq and is a predicted model, not a curated record. The transcript has 3 exons.